AUUUUAUUUACUUUUCUCUGUAUUUUUAUUUUGAUGAAAAAGCUUUUGAAGUUAAAGUAAAUUUUUAAUUUAACCUUUAGAAAAAAUAAAUCUUUAGAAAGUGUUUAGUAUUAUACAGUUUCAUAUUAAAUUAAACGUUGUUAAUAGUAAACAUAAUUUUAGAUUUUGAGUUGAAAGUUUUUUAUAUUGCUAAAUAUGUAUUUUAAAUCUAAUAGAACGGCAAUUGCAAUUUUUAAAAUUGAAAUUGCAUUGUAAAUAUACCCUAACAUCGAAAUUGACAAAUGUUUUAUUUUU
Molecule: unclassified non-coding RNA, 294 nt
Filed under: Borreliella afzelii
Lineage: Bacteria; Pseudomonadati; Spirochaetota; Spirochaetia; Spirochaetales; Borreliaceae
Description: partial 16S-23S ribosomal RNA intergenic spacer
Source: RNAcentral